RNAcentral lists this ribosomal RNA (253 nucleotides) under uncultured bacterium. RNAcentral's name for it is "partial 16S ribosomal RNA". It matches the Rfam family "Bacterial small subunit ribosomal RNA", at positions 524 to 776 of the family's 1533-position model. The record is from RNAcentral.
UACGUAGGUGGCAAGCGUUGUCCGGAUUUAUUGGGUUUAAAGGGUGCGUAGGCGGCUUUGUAAGUCAGUGGUGAAAUACGGUAGCUCAACUAUCGAGGUGCCAUUGAUACUGCGGAGCUUGAGUACAGAUGAGGUAGGCGGAAUUGACGGUGUAGCGGUGAAAUGCUUAGAUAUGACAUAGAACACCAAUUGCGAAGGCAGCUUACUACGGGGUCAUUGACACUGAGGCACGAAAGCGUGGGGAUCAAACAGG